Molecule: ribosomal RNA, 796 nt
Filed under: uncultured bacterium
Lineage: Bacteria
Description: bacterial SSU rRNA
Rfam family: Bacterial small subunit ribosomal RNA
Source: RNAcentral
AAAUUUGAGAGCGGCGUACGGGUGCGGAACACGUGUGCAACCUGCCUUUAUCUGGAGGAUAGCCUUUCGAAAGGAAGAUUAAUACUCCAUAAUAUACAAGAUGGCAUCAUUUAGUAUUGAAAGCUCCGGCGGAUAAAGAUGGGCACGCGCAAGAUUAGAUAGUUGGUGAGGUAACGGCUCACCAAGUCUGCGAUCUUUAGGGGGCCUGAGAGGGUGAUCCCCCACACUGGUACUGAGACACGGACCAGACUCCUACGGGAGGCAGCAGUGAGGAAUAUUGGACAAUGGGUGCAAGCCUGAUCCAGCCAUCCCGCGUGAAGGAUUAAGGACCUAUGGUUUGUAAACUUCUUUUGUACAGGGAUAAACCAUUCUACGUGUAGAAUGCUGAAGGUACUGUACGAAUAAGCACCGGCUAACUCCGUGCCAGCAGCCGCGGUAAUACGGAGGGUGCAAGCGUUAUCCGGAUUUAUUGGGUUUAAAGGGUCCGUAGGCGGAUCUAUAAGUCAGUGGUGAAAGCCGACAGCUUAACUGUCGAACUGCCGUUGAUACUGUAGGUCUUGAGUAAAUUUGAAGUGGCUGGAAUAAGUAGUGUAGCGGUGAAAUGCAUAGAUAUUACUUAGAACACCAAUUGCGAAGGCAGGUCACUAAGAUUUAACUGACGCUGAUGGACGAAAGCGUGGGGAGCGAACAGGAUUAGAUACCCUGGUAGUCCACGCCGUAAACGAUGCUAACUCGUUUUUGGAUUUUCGGAUUCAGAGACCAAGCGAAAGUGAUAAGUUAGCCACCUGGGGAGUAC